RNAcentral lists this long non-coding RNA (2985 nucleotides) under Podarcis lilfordi (Lilford's wall lizard). Lineage: Eukaryota; Metazoa; Chordata; Lepidosauria; Squamata; Lacertidae. The record is from RNAcentral.
GGCUUUUUUUCCCCAGCCAGAACUCGCCAGAACUCAGUUCCAGCACCUCUCAGGUGGGUGCCAUUGCCAUUAUAAGAGAACAAGGGAGGCAUUCAUGGUGAGUUCUGGCACAUUGUGUGUGUGUAUGAUGAUGAUGAUGAUGCUGAUGAUGUUUUAAAAUUAUUGCUUCCGCCAUGUGACCUAUGUUUUUACCUCUUUCUAUUUUAGCUGUAAGCUGCCUUGAGUCCUUGUCAGGGAAAAAGGUGGCUGGUAAUAAUAAUAAUAAUAAUAAUAAUAAUAAUAAUAUCCAUGCACUUAGAAAACUGGAUCUCAGGAAGAAGGGUUAUAGUCUAGCCUUCUCUCUUCCACCAUUUUUUCUCUAUUUGGAGAGAAUCUUAGGAGCUAGCAACAUGUCUGUCCCUGCCUGCAGUCUCGAAUGGUGCAACCCAGACACAGGCUUAUUGCCUUAGUGAGAACUAGGUCAAGAAAAACUGGACUGGGUUUUUUGUUUUAAAUGCUUUCUGGGUUGACAUGCUAUAGAAGCCCUUUAUUAGAUGGCUUUUUAAAAUGGUGACCUAAGCAAAAUGUUUUCUUUUUGUAAAGUUCGGGAACUGGGCAGGUCAAUGAGCGCUGUCUUGGAAUCAUGUUUAUUUGCACCUGCCCCGUUGUUGCAGAGAUAUUGAAUUGAAGUAGCAAGGAGAUGUUACUUUGCAAGUAGGAUAUAUAUAGAUAUACAUUCAUUUUCUUAUGCAUUCCAAAUGAAAGCUUAACAAAUAGGAACCACAAUGAUGCUAAUAACGUAAUAGAUCAGGGGCUUUUGGGAUGGAAGGCCUAUACUGAUUUCCAUGCACAAAGAUUAGCAUCAAACAGAAUUUUGCAAUUGCCUGUGUAAAUUCUUUCCUGUAAUGAUAAGAAUGCACCUCGAAGCUGUGGAUUUUGAUCCCAGAUACAGAUGUGCACACACACACACACACACACACACACCACUCUGCAUCUCACACAAGGUGUCGUGGAUACUUCUGGAAGACAAGCAGCUGCAAUAAGAGAGAUCAGAAAAGGAGACUUAAAUUGAUACAAUUAAUCCCUUGGAAAUACAGCAAGACUAUCUUUCCUUAUUCUUGCACAGUUCAAACAUCCAGAGAAUAUGCUUAAUUAAAAUUUGGCUAUACAUUUUUAAAAGAUAACAAAAAAAAUAAAAGAAAUGGGCUAAUUAUAUUGCUCUGCAUUCUGCUAUGUAUUUUUUUUUUUUUUAAUAACAUACUUUUCCAGCUUGGUCCAAUCCCAGGAGAUGUAGUUCCUCAUUUAUAAGAAGGUCCCUGGUGGGAUUUUAAAAGGGGGAUAUCUUAUAAAAGGAAAAUAUAUUUUGAAAGUGGUUCCUUGAAAGGAUCAGUGGCAUCCUGGAUGUAUCUGUGUCCAAAAUGUGCAUCUUCCAAACAUGCAAAUGUUUCUCCUCCAAGGAUUUCCCAUCUUGUCUUCAAAUUGGCGAAGCAGGCGCUGCCGCCUUCAGCUCUUCCUCACAGUUCCCCAACUAUCGUAAAUAGACAGUUUUGAAAAUUUGUUUUAUUUAAUGAACUGAAAGGUUGAGUCUUCUCCUUUGCGUAUUAACUCCCCCUAAUAUAUGAUGGUACAUAUUAAUGGUCGUUAACAAGCUAAAUGCUUUUUCCACAGAAAGCCCACAGGAGAGAGAACGAGGGGGAAAAUAUCCCCUCAUUUGAGAUAAUUUCACUGAAUCGUUGCUGUGUUCUCCCCUCAGGGCAAGGUGAGACGUGUCCUGGAAAUAUGUUAGAGAGAGGAGAGAGGGCAUCCAGGAGCUGAAAGCAAAGAUGAGGCAGUCUUCAAAAACUGCUGGCCUGGGAAAAUCCAGAUUUGGAAGGGAAAUCAGUUUGCAGUCCUAUUGGUUUGGGGCCAUCCCCACAGAAGGCCUUCCUUCCUCCUUGCACCAUCUCAAAACCUUUCUCCUCUUCUUCUCCUCACUGUUGGGAUUCUCCUCAGAUCCCUGCUGCCUUUAGAAUGGAAGCAGAAGGUGAAAAAAAUGGCAGCACUGCUUGGAAUCUUAGGCUCCAUCUGCACUAUACAUGUCUUCUUCUAAUUCUUCUUUGGCGAGUAAGAUUGUCUUCCAUAAACACGGUUUUAACAAUGAGUCAGUAAGUGACUGUAGAGGCCAAUUCUGGAUCCACACAUCCUUCCACAGUGGGGACAUUGGUUAAAGCACAAUGAGCCCCCUUUAAACAGACAUGGCUCCCCACCCAAAAUAUUCUGGGAGCUGUAGUUUGUUCAGGGUGCUGACAGUUAUUAGGAGGCCUGUCUUCUCCUCAAAGAGCCUCCUGGGAAGAGGGCUAGAUAGUUAAUCUGUUCUGGGAACUGUUGCUCUGUGAGGGGAAUACGGGUUUUCUAACAACUCUCAGCACCCUGAACAAACUACCCUUAAUAAACUACCUUUCCCAGCAUUCUCUGAGGGAAGCCAUAACUGUUUAAAUCAGUGGUUUUUAACCAGUGUGCCGUGGACCCUGGGGUGCCUUGAACAAUGGUCAGGGGUGCUGUAGGGAAGGUGUUCAAAAAGGGUGAGAGGCUGCCAGCUCUGCAGGCAAGGGGUGACAUAACUGGGCCCCUGGGCCCCACGGGGUGCCUCAGAAAGAAUGUAGUUGGUUAGGGGAGCCAUGGACUCAAAAAGGUUGAAAACCUCUGCUUUAAAGUGGUCUCAUAGUGGUUUAAAUCGAUGAUGCAGAUGGGGCCUCAGAUUACAGCAGCACACUCCUGCUUUUAAGUGGCUACAAAACCACAAUUCCAAGGUGUUAACCGAGCCUUAGAAACACACAACCAGAAUUCUACCAUCAUAUUUUAAUUUUUUAAUAAAAAAAAUAGUCAAUGAAAACACUUAUUGCUCAUUCACUGCCCCCAAAGAUGACCAAAUGUGAAUCUGAUUGACUUCUGCGGCAAUUAAAGGCAGAAGAUCUCAAUGUAUGGGAAUACAAACAAAUGUCAAUAAACUUUUAAUGUGCUAUUCAA